ACAAAUGAUGCUGCACGGAGCCG
This 23-nucleotide non-coding RNA is filed under the name Arabidopsis thaliana (thale cress). Lineage: Eukaryota; Viridiplantae; Streptophyta; Magnoliopsida; Brassicales; Brassicaceae. The record is from RNAcentral.